Pelobates cultripes (western spadefoot toad) is the source of this 317-nucleotide non-coding RNA. The record is from the annotation of a GenBank genome assembly. Lineage: Eukaryota; Metazoa; Chordata; Amphibia; Anura; Pelobatidae.
CCUGACUCCGUCUAGUUAUAAUUUUCGCUGUCUCUCUGUUACUUUAACCUCGGUUAGGAUCUUGACUACGCUUUUUCUUGUACGACGUUAUGUCCGGUCAUAUGUUUUUUCCCUGUCUUGUCCAUUGCUGUCCUGAACUCUGCGUGUUGGGGUAUUACACCGUGACACCUGAUUCCAGCGCCGAUGUCCUUUGGUGCUGGGUCAUCGCUCUGCCUCCUCUGACGUCAUCCAACGGGGAGACCUAAUGCGCAAGCGCAGCAAGAGCUGGAAGCGCAUUAGGCCCUCUACAUAGGAAAGCUCCCAGAAGCGCCUCUUGU